This 460-nucleotide ribosomal RNA is filed under the name uncultured bacterium. Its description in RNAcentral is "bacterial SSU rRNA". It matches the Rfam family "Bacterial small subunit ribosomal RNA", at positions 1050 to 1509 of the family's 1533-position model. The record is from RNAcentral.
UGUCGUCAGCUCGUGUCGUGAGAUGUUGGGUUAAGUCCCGCAACGAGCGCAACCCUUGUCCUUAGUUGCCAGCGGUUCGGCCGGGCACUCUAGGGAGACUGCCGGUGACAAACCGGAGGAAGGUGGGGAUGACGUCAAGUCCUCAUGGCCUUUAUGUCCAGGGCUACACACGUGCUACAAUGGCGCGUACAGAGGGAAGCCAAGCCGCGAGGUGGAGCAGACCCCAGAAAGCGCGUCGUAGUUCGGAUCGGAGUCUGCAACUCGACUCCGUGAAGUCGGAAUCGCUAGUAAUCGCGAAUCAGCAAUGUCGCGGUGAAUACGCUCCCGGGCCUUGUACACACCGCCCGUCACACCAUGGGAGUUGGCUGCACCAGAAGCCGGUAGUCUAACCGCAAGGAGGACGCCGUCCACGGUGUGGUCAAUGACUGGGGUGAAGUCGUAACAAGGUAACCAAGGGCGA